This is a small nuclear RNA of Otolemur garnettii (small-eared galago), 105 nucleotides long. NCBI's taxonomy places the organism in Eukaryota, Metazoa, Chordata, Mammalia, Primates, Galagidae. The record is from Ensembl.
GUGCUCAGUUUGGCAGCACAUACACUAAAAGUGGAAUGAAACAGAAGAUUUGCAUAGACUCUGUGCAAGGAUGACAUUCAAACCCAUGAAGUGUUCCGUAUUUCC